Molecule: ribosomal RNA, 201 nt
Filed under: uncultured bacterium
Lineage: Bacteria
Description: partial 16S ribosomal RNA
Rfam family: Bacterial small subunit ribosomal RNA
Source: RNAcentral
UACAGAGGGUGCGAGCGUUAAUCGGAAUUACUGGGCGUAAAGCGUGCGCAGACGGUCACGUAAGUCGGGUGUGAAAGCCCCGGGCUCAACCUGGGAAUUGCAUUCGAGACUGCGUGGCUAGGGUGCGGAAGAGGGAAGCGGAAUUUCCGGUGUAGCGGUGGAAAUGCGUAGAUAUCGGAAGGAACACCAGUGGCGAAAGCG